RNAcentral lists this transfer-messenger RNA (363 nucleotides) under Salmonella enterica. It matches the Rfam family "transfer-messenger RNA". From Rfam's summary of the family: Bacterial tmRNA, also known as 10Sa RNA or SsrA, is named for its dual tRNA and mRNA-like properties. Its role is to liberate the mRNA from a stalled ribosome. RNAcentral also lists the same sequence under 1 other name. The record is from RNAcentral. Lineage: Bacteria; Pseudomonadati; Pseudomonadota; Gammaproteobacteria; Enterobacterales; Enterobacteriaceae.
GGGGCUGAUUCUGGAUUCGACGGAAUUUGCGAAACUCAAGGUGCAUGCCGAGGGGCGGUUGGCCUCGUAAAAAGCCGCAAAAAAAUAGUCGCAAACGACGAAACCUACGCUUUAGCAGCUUAAUAACCUGCUUAGAGCCCUCUCUCCCUAGCCUCCGCUCUUAGGACGGGGAUCAAGAGAGGUCAAACCCAAAAGAGAUCGCGCGGAUGCCCUGCCUGGGGUUGAAGCGUUAAAACGAAUCAGGCUAGUCUGGUAGUGGCGUGUCCGUCCGCAGGUGCCAGGCGAAUGUAAAGACUGACUAAGCAUGUAGUACCGAGGAUGUAGGAAUUUCGGACGCGGGUUCAACUCCCGCCAGCUCCACCA